GCUGCGGGGGGAGAGGCCUUCGGGCUCGACCUCCACCCUUUGUGAACACAACUUGUUGCUUCGGGGGCGACCCUGCCGUUUCGACGGCGAGCGCCCCCGGAGGCCUUCAAACACUGCAUCUUUGCGUCGGAGUUUAAGUAAAUUAAACAAAACUUUCAACAACGGAUCUCUUGGUUCUGGCAUCGAUGAAGAACGCAGCGAAAUGCGAUAAGUAAUGUGAAUUGCAGAAUUCAGUGAAUCAUCGAAUCUUUGAACGCACAUUGCGCCCCUUGGUAUUCCGAGGGGCAUGCCUGUUCGAGCGUCAUUUCACCACUCAAGCCUCGCUUGGUAUUGGGCGCCGCGGUGUUCCGCGCGCCUCAAAGUCUCCGGCUGAGCUGUCCGUCUCUAAGCGUUGUGAUUUCAUUAAUCGCUUCGGAGCGCGGGCGGUCGCGGCCGUUAAAUCUUUCACAAGGUUGACCUCGGAUCAGGUAGGGAUACCCGCUGAACUUAAGCAUAUCAAAAGCCGGGAGGAA
This 512-nucleotide ribosomal RNA is filed under the name Cercospora capsici. RNAcentral's name for it is "eukaryotic LSU rRNA". The stretch from base 151 to 304 matches the Rfam family "5.8S ribosomal RNA". Lineage: Eukaryota; Fungi; Ascomycota; Dothideomycetes; Mycosphaerellales; Mycosphaerellaceae. The record is from RNAcentral.